RNAcentral lists this transfer RNA (72 nucleotides) under Capra hircus (goat). It matches the Rfam family "tRNA". From Rfam's summary of the family: Transfer RNA (tRNA) molecules are approximately 80 nucleotides in length. The record is from Rfam by way of RNAcentral. Lineage: Eukaryota; Metazoa; Chordata; Mammalia; Artiodactyla; Bovidae. RNAcentral also lists the same sequence under 1 other name.
UCCCUGGUGGCUCAGAGGUUAAAGCAUCUGCCUCCAAUGCAGGAGACCUGGGUUUGAUCCCUGGGUGGGGAA